UUUUUUUUUUUUUUUUUUGGAGAGAUGAGGUCUUACUAUAUUGCCCAGACUGGUCUCAAACUCCCAGGCUCAAGAGGUCCUCCUACCUCAGCCUCCCAAAGUCCUGGGAUAACAGGCGUGAGCCGCCUUGCCCAGCCAUUGUACACUUCUUUAUCCCCAUUGUCGUGACAUGAAAACCGAGGCUUCAAGAAGAAACUCAUUGGCCCGGGUCACUCAGUCAGCAAGCAUUGGUCCAAUGAAGGCCUCACUCAGUGCCAGCAUCCUCUUUAAAAGUCACUGAUGGAUGAUUGUCCACCAGCUACCUACUAGACACUUCCUCUGACGGGGAGCUCACUGCCUAAAAGAGCAGCCCUUCUUAUUGUGGGGGAGCAAAUAGACAGAAAAUCCAUCCCGACAGUGAGCAGAAGCCAGCAUCCCUGAGCGUGGCUACCCUAGACCCAGGUGAGCCCCGGAGGCAAUGCCUUCAUCCCCCAGCAUCCUGGAAUAACAUUCAGCCACUACAGAAGCUCUUCCACACAGAGCUGUCAGAUGGUUGAUUAAUUGAUUGAUUGGUGUUUGGGCUCAUUCUGCAGCCAGACACUGGGCUUAGUCUGUGAUCAGAGUCAGGGCUUAGUCAAUGGUAGAGGUCAGGGGUCAGGUACCCAGCCAAGGUCAGGGUUACCAUCUUUGCCUGUGAACAGACUUUCUGCACGUUAAGCUUCCAGGCCCUUCCAGGGGUCAUGCUGCAAUCUUGGCCUCAUUAGCACAUGAGUCUCACCAACCAGCUGGGCCCAUCUGGUUUCUUAUUAAUCCAGAAGUGAGUUGGAGGAAGCAGCCUUCUGAGGAGUGAGCAGCCCUGGAUUAAAGAGCUUGCCAGGCAUGCCAUCACCUCCUCUUCUCUGCAGCCAGGAAAGCAUCGUGCCCUUCUCUCUCCUGUAGCCUUCAGCCCCUCCCCACUAUGGCCAGACCAUGGGGCUUUGGCUUCCUGUGGGGCCAGAGGGGAGGCAGGUGGAAGGAAGAGCUGGGAGUAAAGGGAGGGCUCCUCUGUAGGGAGGGACAUUGUAGGGACAGAGAAAGUGGGUGUCAUGAGGUUAUCCAAGGUCCAGCUAUGCCCAGCCGUGGCACCUUCAGGUGGAUGGGUCUCAUUUCCAUUCCACAUGCUUUAAAUGGCUGUUCAUACUGCAUAAAAGCCACUUUCAUUCCAGUUCCACAAAA
This 1194-nucleotide long non-coding RNA is filed under the name Macaca fascicularis (crab-eating macaque). RNAcentral describes it as "lncRNA (ENSMFAG00000048068.1)". The record is from RNAcentral. Lineage: Eukaryota; Metazoa; Chordata; Mammalia; Primates; Cercopithecidae.